This 550-nucleotide ribosomal RNA is filed under the name uncultured bacterium. RNAcentral's name for it is "bacterial SSU rRNA". It matches the Rfam family "Bacterial small subunit ribosomal RNA", at positions 75 to 639 of the family's 1533-position model. The record is from RNAcentral.
CGUAGCAAUACAAGGGAAGACCUAGUGGCGAACGGGUGCGUAACACGUGAGGAACUUGUCCCGGUCUCUGGGAUAACAGUUGGAAACGACUGCUAAUACCGGAUGACGUCGGAAUCUCGCAUGGGAUACUGACGAAAGGGUUACUGGAUCGGGAGAGCCUCGCGGCCUAUCAGCUUGUUGGUGAGGUAACGGCUCACCAAGGCAUCGACGGGUAGCUGGUCUGAGAGGAUGAUCAGCCACACUGGGACUGAGACACGGCCCAGACUCCUACGGGAGGCAGCAGUGGGGAAUCUUGCGCAAUGGGCGAAAGCCUGACGCAGCAACGCCGCGUGCGGGAAGAAGGCCCUCGGGUUGUAAACCGCUUUCAGCAGGAACGAAAAUGACGGUACUUGCAGAAGAAGGUGCGGCCAACUACGUGCCAGCAGCCGCGGUGACACGUAGGCACCAAGCGUUGUCCGGAUUUAUUGGGCGUAAAGAGCUCGUAGGCGGUUCGGUAAGUCGGGUGUGAAAACUUUGGGCUUAACCCAAAGCCUGCAUCCGAUACUGCUGU